UAGGGAAUCUUCCGCAAUGGGCGAAAGCUUGACGGAGCAACGCCGCGUGAGUGAUGAAGGUCUUCGGAUCGUAAAACUCUGUUAUUAGGGAAGAACAAAUGUGUAAGUAACUAUGCACGUCUUGACGGUACCUAAUCAGAAAGCCACGGCUAACUACGUGCCAGCAGCCGCGGUAAUACGUAGGUGGCAAGCGUUAUCCGGAAUUAUUGGGCGUAAAGCGCGCGUAGGCGGUUUUUUAAGUCUGAUGUGAAAGCCCACGGCUCAACCGUGGAGGGUCAUUGGAAACUGGAAAACUUGAGUGCAGAAGAGGAAAGUGGAAUUCCAUGUGUAGCGGUGAAAUGCGCAGAGAUAUGGAGGAACACCAGUGGCGAAGGCGACUUUCUGGUCUGUAACUGACGCUGGUGUGCGAAAGCGUGGGGAUCAAACAGG
This 429-nucleotide ribosomal RNA is filed under the name Actinomycetes bacterium. RNAcentral describes it as "Actinobacteria bacterium partial 16S ribosomal RNA". It matches the Rfam family "Bacterial small subunit ribosomal RNA", at positions 355 to 776 of the family's 1533-position model. The record is from RNAcentral. RNAcentral also lists the same sequence under 1 other name. Lineage: Bacteria; Bacillati; Actinomycetota; Actinomycetes.